Non-coding RNA from Caenorhabditis elegans, 73 nucleotides. The record is from the annotation of a RefSeq genome assembly. NCBI's taxonomy places the organism in Eukaryota, Metazoa, Nematoda, Chromadorea, Rhabditida, Rhabditidae.
GUCGCGGUGGCUCAGUCGGUAAGAGAGUUGGUUGGGGUGCAGAAGGCCGCGGGUUCGAUUCCCGCUAGCUGCA